RNAcentral lists this small nucleolar RNA (331 nucleotides) under Neotoma lepida (desert woodrat). RNAcentral's name for it is "Small Cajal body-specific RNA 7". It matches the Rfam family "Small Cajal body-specific RNA 7". The record is from Rfam by way of RNAcentral. Lineage: Eukaryota; Metazoa; Chordata; Mammalia; Rodentia; Cricetidae.
UGGAAAUGAUGAAAUAGAGAUAUUGGGUGUUGAAUGUUGCCAUGAAUGGAAAUUUUUAAUGUAUAUAUUAGUUCUCCUAGUUUAAUGUUUCAUUUAUACGUACUAGUGUGAGUGUGUGCAUGCAUGUGUGUGUGUGUGUGUGGUGGCUAUGAAAGGGGGCACUGAAUGGUGAUGCUGAUAUUGGAGUGCAUCUGAGGCUGUUGUAGAAAUAACAUGGGUUAUUACAUAUUACAAUAUUGCCGAUGAUUAUAACCCAAAAACAGCUCACCUAAGUAGCCCAGCACCCUAAAAUCUCUAACAGGCUCAUUAAAUGUCCUGUGAUCUGAUCCAA